AUUGAACGCUGGCGGCAGGCCUAACACAUGCAAGUCGAGCGGAUGAAGAGAGCUUGCUCUCUGAUUCAGCGGCGGACGGGUGAGUAAUGCCCAGGAAUCUGCCUGGUAGUGGGGGACAACGUUUCGAAAGGAACGCUAAUACCGCAUACGUCCUACGGGAGAAAGCAGGGGACCUUCGGGCCUUGCGCUAUCAGAUGAGCCUAGGUCGGAUUAGCUAGUUGGUGAGGUAAUGGCUCACCAAGGCGACGAUCCGUAACUGGUCUGAGAGGAUGAUCAGUCACACUGGAACUGAGACACGGUACAGACUCCUACGGGAGGCAGCAGUGGGGAAUAUUGGACAAUGGGCGAAAGCCUGAUCCAGCCAUGCCGCGUGUGUGAAGAAGGUCUUCGGAUUGUAAAGCACUUUAAGUUGGGAGGAAGGGCAGUAAGUUAAUACCUUGCUGUUUUGACGUUACCGACAGAAUAAGCACCGGCUAACUCUGUGCCAGCCGCCGCAGUAA
This 500-nucleotide ribosomal RNA is filed under the name uncultured bacterium. RNAcentral's name for it is "partial 16S ribosomal RNA". It matches the Rfam family "Bacterial small subunit ribosomal RNA", at positions 30 to 523 of the family's 1533-position model. The record is from RNAcentral.